GACGAACGCUGGCGGCGUGCUUAACACAUGCAAGUCGAACGGAAAGGCCCUGCUUUUGUGGGGUGCUCGAGUGGCGAACGGGUGAGUAACACGUGAGUAACCUGCCCUUGACUUUGGGAUAACUUAAGAAAACUGGGUCUAAUACCGGAUAGGAGCUCCUGCUGCAUGGUGGGGGUUGGUAAGUUUCGGCGGUUGGGGAUGGACUCGCGGCUUAUCAGCUUGUUGGUGGGGUAGUGGCUUACCAAGGCUUUGAAGGGUAGCCGACCUGCGAGGGUGACCGGCCACAUUGGGACUGAGAUACGGCCCAGACUCCUACGGGAGGCAGCAGUGGGGAAUAUUGCACAAUGGGCGGAAGCCUGAUGCAGCAACGCCGCGUGCGGGAUGACGGGCUUCGGGUUGUAAUCCGCUUUCGCCUGUGACGAAGCGUGAGUGACGGUAAUGGGUAAAGAAGCACCGGCUAACUACGUG
Molecule: ribosomal RNA, 468 nt
Filed under: uncultured bacterium
Lineage: Bacteria
Description: partial 16S ribosomal RNA
Rfam family: Bacterial small subunit ribosomal RNA
Source: RNAcentral